Molecule: ribosomal RNA, 253 nt
Filed under: uncultured prokaryote
Description: partial 16S ribosomal RNA
Rfam family: Bacterial small subunit ribosomal RNA
Source: RNAcentral
ACGAAGGGUGCAAGCGUUACUCGGAAUUACUGGGCGUAAAGCGCACGUAGGCGGCUUUGUAAGUUAGAGGUGAAAGCCCGGAGCUCAACUCCGGAAUUGCCUUUAAGACUGCAUCGCUAGAAUUGUGGAGAGGUAAGUGGAAUUCCCAGUGUAGAGGUGAAAUUCGUAGAUAUUGGGAAGAACACCGGUGGCGAAGGCGGCCAUCUGGACGGACACUGACGCUGAGGCGCGAAAGCGUGGGGAGCAAACAGGA